This 629-nucleotide ribosomal RNA is filed under the name uncultured fungus. Its description in RNAcentral is "eukaryotic LSU rRNA". The stretch from base 290 to 443 matches the Rfam family "5.8S ribosomal RNA". Lineage: Eukaryota; Fungi. The record is from RNAcentral.
AGUAAAAGUCGUAACAAGGUUUCCGUAGGUGAACCUGCGGAAGGAUCAUUAAUAGAGCAAAAGGCAGGCAGCGCCCUGGAGGAGCUUGCUCCCCAGGGGCUACCCUACUCCGGUAGGGUUUAGAGCCGUCGAACCGCUCAGAGAAGUUCGGUCUUGAACUCCACCCUUGAAUAUAUUACCUUUGUUGCUUUGGCAGGCCGCCUAGUGCCAGCGGCUUCGGCUGUUGAGUGCCUGCCAGAGGAUCACAACUCUUGUUCUUAGUGAUGUCUGAGUACUAUAUAAUAGUUAAAACUUUCAACAACGGAUCUCUUGGUUCUGGCAUCGAUGAAGAACGCAGCGAAAUGCGAUAAGUAAUGUGAAUUGCAGAAUUCAGUGAAUCAUCGAAUCUUUGAACGCACAUUGCGCCCUCUGGUAUUCCGGGGGGCAUGCCUGUUCGAGCGUCAUUAUAACCACUCAAGCUCACGCUUGGUAUUGGGGUUCGCGGUUCCGCGGCCCCUAAAAUCAGUGGCGGUGCCUGUCGGCUCUACGCGUAGUAAUACUCCUCGCGUCUGGGUCCGGUAGGUCUACUUGCCAGCAACCCCCAAUUUUUUACAGGUUGACCUCGGAUCAGGUAGGGAUACCCGCUGAAC